Molecule: long non-coding RNA, 333 nt
Filed under: Rattus norvegicus (Norway rat)
Lineage: Eukaryota; Metazoa; Chordata; Mammalia; Rodentia; Muridae
Description: long non-coding RNA NONRATT013703
Source: RNAcentral
GUGAAGUGAGGCCCGGGCCAGGGUCGCGGGAACGAGCGCCCGGCGGAACCGCUGCUGCCAAAGCCGCCCGGGCCGCCCAUCCUCUCCUGGCGGAGCCCUCAGGCGCUGAAAACUACAACUCCCGGCAUGCCCUGAGCCCGACGGCCGCAGACCUGAGGCGGGGUCGGGCGCGUCAGCCGGCCGGCCGGCUGUGCACGGCAGCGCCGGGGACUGGGCCCGCCGCUGCCGCGCGCGGGGUGAAGACGCGUGCCAUGGAGGAGACACCGCCCCCAAUGCAAGCCGGCAGCAAGCCGCACCUUGAGAAGUUGACCCUGGGCGUAACUCGCAUCCUGG